AAGUCGUAACAAGGUUUCCGUAGGUGAACCUGCGGAAGGAUCAUUAACAAAUCAAUUAUACACUUGUUGAACUGUAACAUCCUGAUGGCGGCAUAUUGCUUGUCUUGUGAUGGUUUGAUUGCCUUGCUACUCGGUAUCGCCUGUCUCGUUGCCUCUCUCAUCAGAGGGGUGAUUGUUAUAGGUCUGAGAAGGGUAGCAGCAGUCAAUAUUUUACACAAUUCAUGCGCAAGUCACCAUUGGUAUUAUAAAACGCUUUAAUAUAUUUGACUAAGCUUUGACAUAUUUAAGGAAUAAUAUAAACAACUUUUAACAAUGGAUCUCUUGGCUCCUA
Molecule: unclassified non-coding RNA, 331 nt
Filed under: fungal sp.
Lineage: Eukaryota; Fungi
Description: partial internal transcribed spacer region
Rfam family: Eukaryotic small subunit ribosomal RNA (bases 1-46)
Source: RNAcentral